This 511-nucleotide long non-coding RNA is filed under the name Lynx pardinus (Iberian lynx). Lineage: Eukaryota; Metazoa; Chordata; Mammalia; Carnivora; Felidae. The record is from RNAcentral.
GGAUGCACAGCUCCUCCUGCCCAGGGUUUCAAAGCUGAUUCCAGGUAAUAUACUUAUAAAAGGAUCCGAAUUCCUAAAUUCUCCACUUUGGGUUUUUAAAGGCUAGGAUCUUCAAUGGGAAUUGGGACUUUUGUCUUAUUUUAUUUAUUUUAUUUUUUUUCUUUUUCUACUUAGAUACCUAACUUCUCCAAACCACAGGACCGGUCUAUGUUAUUGUCCUGGUCACCCUCUGACUCUCUCAUGUUGCAGCUACUGGAAUUCUGGGGGUGAGCGUUGCAGCUGCUGAUCAGGCCCAUUCCCAGAUUCUCCGGGAAGGGAGCAAAGCGGAAGGCGGCACGCUCCUUUAUCUUCCACAGGCUGAAUGCCAAAAUCCUUCACGCUACCAGUUUCUGCGAACUCCAGGUAGAAGUAGCCACACUUGACUGCCCGAUGCACCUCAAAGCAGAAGCCCAAACAAGAAUCCUCUAUUAGGUCUACGUAUAUCUCCUGAGCGAUGGCCUCUAGCUUGUUA